RNAcentral lists this ribosomal RNA (305 nucleotides) under uncultured bacterium. RNAcentral describes it as "bacterial SSU rRNA". It matches the Rfam family "Bacterial small subunit ribosomal RNA", at positions 333 to 655 of the family's 1533-position model. The record is from RNAcentral.
CCGGUCCUACGGGAGGCAGCAGUGGGGAAUAUUGCACAAUGGGGGGAACCCUGAUGCAGCGACGCCGCGUGGGCGAUGGAGUACUUCGGUAUGUAAAGCCCUAUCAGCAGGGAAGAAAAUGACGGUACCUGACUAAGAAGCCCCGGCUAAAUACGUGCCAGCAGCCGCGGUAAUACGUAUGGGGCAAGCGUUAUCCGGAUUCACUGGGCGUAAAGGGAGCGCAGGCGGCACGGCAAGUCUGGUGUGAAAGCCCGGGGCCCAACCCCGGGACUGCAUUGGAAACUGCCGGGCUGGAGUGCCGGAGG